GGGGGUACCGCUACAGAGUUCAUGUGGAGACUAUGUACAGGGGGUACCGCUACAUAGUCCAUGUGGAGACUAUAUACAGGGGGGUACCGCUACAGAGUUCAUGUGGAGACUAUGUACAUGGGGGUACCGCUACAGAGUUCAUGUGGAGACUAUGUACAGGGGGGUACCGCUACAGACUCAAUGUGCGGGGGCACCAGUAAGUUGAGGUAAUAUGUGCAUGUAGGUAAUGUUAUUUUAACACUCUCUAUGUUCAAAAUCGGACGAUGGAGGGAAGAAGGGAAGUGGCCGUGCUGCAGAUCAUCUCUGAAAGCUGUGUGUGUGUGUGUGUGUGUGUGUG
Long non-coding RNA from Oncorhynchus tshawytscha (Chinook salmon), 337 nucleotides. The record is from Ensembl. Lineage: Eukaryota; Metazoa; Chordata; Actinopteri; Salmoniformes; Salmonidae.